CGCAUUUCCAGCAUAUCAGAGCGUCCCGAGCUCGGCUUUGCUUUUCCUAUGGCCGAAAACAGGCUUGAAGAAAAGCUUUUUCCUCACCUGAACUUGAGGCCAUCCUCUGAAACCCAAAGCCAUGGCUAAGGUUUGCCGGAUAAUGUCUCAUUUCACCCUCAGUAAUCGGAUCGAACACCGCAUUUCCGGUCUCCGGCGACGCAUCCUCCGCCUUCUCCACCACUUCUUGCUCUGUUCCGGAGGGAAGCCCUCCAAGUACCUCAUGCUACCACAUUUCGCCGAGCAUUCUCCUCCGUCUCUUCCGCCUUCCUCCGCCGGAGAGGCUACUCACGUCAAAUCGGGGCAGGGCUCGCUGCCUGAGUUUCACACCCCCGAAUCGGAUUCCGAUUUGGUUGCUCUCAAGCUCAGCCUCCUCGGGGACUGCCAAAUUGGAAAGACCAGUUUUCUGGUGAAAUAUAUAGGGAAUGAACAUGAUCAGAGAAGCCAAGAGAAGAAGGGAUUAAAUCAGAUGGAUAAAACUUUAGUCGUGGAAGGGGCACGUAUAUCGUAUUGUAUCUGGGAAGUAGAAGGAGGUGGUGGAAAGUCACAGCAUCAGAUUCCAUUGGCUUGCAAGGACUCCGUGGCAAUCUUGUACAUGUUUGAUCUAACAAGCCGAUGUACUUUAAACAGUGUGAUCGGGUGGUACAAAGAAGCCAGGAAAUGGAAUCAGACAGCAAUUCCAGUGAUGAUAGGAACCAAGUUUGAUGAUUUCAUUCAACUUCCCAUAGAUUUGCAGUGGACCAUCGCCAAUGAGGCAAGAAGAUACGCAAAGGCCAUGAAUGCAACACUGUUCUUUUCCAGUGCGACCUACAACAUCAACGUGAACAAGAUCUUCAAGUUCAUCACAGCCAAACUGUUCGACCUGCCAUGGACACUGGAACGGAAUCUCACUGUUGAAGUUGACAUUUACGGACCACAAGAAAGCAACAAAUUGCAAAUUCUGAUUCUGAAUGCACCCGUCUUUGCGGAAUCCUUACUGCAAUUAGGUGUAUGGCUAUGCAGAUUCCUCACUGCAAUAGCCGAAAGUCACAAGCAGUGCAAACUUUUAAAAAUACCCGACGAUGUGGAGAGAAAAUUUAUAUGGGCACGGGGCACGGCCUAGCCAUGGAUUUAUAAAUAUUGUGCUGUAUGUCGAAACUAAAAGCAGAGGACAAUUUCAGUGUGAAGAAUUCAAAGGGAAGCCUCCUGGAUAAGCUUGACUGUCUGUCACUGCUUAAAAGAUUUACCAAAUUUACUAUUCAUUCCGGCCACAGCCCCACAGACAAAUAACGGGGCAUGUUUACCUAAUUCUUGUGUUGCUCUCACGAAAUGAUCGAAAAAGCGGGAAAGAUUGAAAUAUGGCCAUACAACGGUUCAAAACUCCAUGGCAAGUUAUGGGCCCCAGCAGAUCCUGUUCUUUCUUCGGGAAAUCAUUUCUCAAACAUUAAAAAAAUAUUUAGUGGCUGACUUGGCUUCAUCAGAAUCCUUUAUCACAGAGGAGAGGAUGGCAAUCCUCUUCCAAUGGUGAAAUGAGUCGCAAUACCCGUCAUUGGAAUGCCACUUGCCCCUUAACAAUACAAUACGAAGACUGAAGUGAAGAAUAAAGCUGCCUUCCUUAGCCGAGGGAAAGAGACAUUAGAGAGGCUUCUUGGAGAAUGUUGCAAUCUUUCUACUUCACACUUAACUACCCAGCCUUCCUCGUCCGACCCUCCGCAAGUUGGCCACUAUCUCAAGAUUGGCAAGCCCCAUUUGACUUGUCUUUAGUGGCCUGGUUCAAUAAAAUUCAAUUGAGUAUUGUAUCAAAAAAAAAAAAAAAACUUUGUGGGAUUUAGUGGUAAUGCUGUGGUCUGACUGUAUAUUUGGGGUCUGACUAACUCUUUCCAAGUAUUAUUA
Prosopis cineraria is the source of this 1911-nucleotide RNA transcript. It is a transcript of the gene named septum-promoting GTP-binding protein 1, with no coding region annotated. The transcript is spliced from 8 exons. Lineage: Eukaryota; Viridiplantae; Streptophyta; Magnoliopsida; Fabales; Fabaceae. The record is from RefSeq and is a predicted model, not a curated record.